This 312-nucleotide ribosomal RNA is filed under the name uncultured eukaryote. RNAcentral's name for it is "partial large subunit ribosomal RNA". It matches the Rfam family "Eukaryotic large subunit ribosomal RNA", at positions 40 to 350 of the family's 3401-position model. The record is from RNAcentral.
AUAUCAAUAAGCGGAGGAAAAGAAACCAACAGGGAUUGCCUCAGUAACGGCGAGUGAAGCGGCAAUUGCUCAAAUUUAAAAUCUGACUUCUUUUGGGGUCCGAAUUGUAAUUUGUAGAGGAAGCUUCGGUAAAGAUAUUGACUCAAGUCCCCUGGAAUGGGAUGUCAUAGAGGGUGAGAACCCCGUUCAGUUAAAUAUCUAAACCAUGUGUUGCUCCUUCGACGAGUCGAGUUGUUUGGGAAUGCAGCUCAAAAUUGGUGGUAAAUUCCAUCUAAGGCUAAAUAUUGGCCAGAGACCGAUAGCGCACAAGUA